RNAcentral lists this ribosomal RNA (702 nucleotides) under Candida albicans. RNAcentral describes it as "eukaryotic LSU rRNA". It matches the Rfam family "Eukaryotic large subunit ribosomal RNA", at positions 101 to 822 of the family's 3401-position model. The record is from RNAcentral. Lineage: Eukaryota; Fungi; Ascomycota; Pichiomycetes; Serinales; Debaryomycetaceae.
GGCAAAGCUCAAAUUUGAAAUCUGGCUCUUUCAGAGUCCGAGUUGUAAUUUGAAGAAGGUAUCUUUGGGUCUGGCUCUUGUCUAUGUUUCUUGGAACAGAACGUCACAGAGGGUGAGAAUCCCGUGCGAUGAGAUGAUCCAGGCCUAUGUAAAGUUCCUUCGAAGAGUCGAGUUGUUUGGGAAUGCAGCUCUAAGUGGGUGGUAAAUUCCAUCUAAAGCUAAAUAUUGGCGAGAGACCGAUAGCGAACAAGUACAGUGAUGGAAAGAUGAAAAGAACUUUGAAAAGAGAGUGAAAAAGUACGUGAAAUUGUUGAAAGGGAAGGGCUUGAGAUCAGACUUGGUAUUUUGUAUGUUACUUCUUCGGGGGUGGCCUCUACAGUUUAUCGGGCCAGCAUCAGUUUGGGCGGUAGGAGAAUUGCGUUGGAAUGUGGCACGGCUUCGGUUGUGUGUUAUAGCCUUCGUCGAUACUGCCAGCCUAGACUGAGGACUGCGGUUUAUACCUAGGAUGUUGGCAUAAUGAUCUUAAGUCGCCCGUCUUGAAACACGGACCAAGGAGUCUAACGUCUAUGCGAGUGUUUGGGUGUAAAACCCGUACGCGUAAUGAAAGUGAACGUAGGUGGGGGCCCGUAUGGGUGCACCAUCGACCGAUCCUGAUGUCUUCGGAUGGAUUUGAGUAAGAGCAUAGCUGUUGGGACCCGAAAG